Long non-coding RNA from Manis pentadactyla (Chinese pangolin), 3125 nucleotides. RefSeq lists it as uncharacterized. NCBI's taxonomy places the organism in Eukaryota, Metazoa, Chordata, Mammalia, Pholidota, Manidae. The transcript has 4 exons. The record is from RefSeq and is a predicted model, not a curated record.
GGGAAAAUGACAUGAGUUGAGGAGGCAAAGGCUGGCAGAUGUCAUCGUGCUUAGAGGAUACUGAGAAAUAUCAGUGCCAUGAACUAAGCUGGUGCAGAGAUGAAGAGAAAUGGGCCACUGUGAAUACAUUCCAGAGAGAGAACCUGCGGAACUUGCUAAUGGAUUGAGUUGGUGAGGGUGCGGCAGCACCAGGGAGUGGGAAUAGGCAGUGGCAGUCUCUCACAUUUCUGUUUGGGGCUCUUUGCUGAGAUGGAGAAGCCUGGGAAGAGGAGGAUCAGGUUUAGAGGAUAACACAAUAUCUAAUUUCCUUUCUGGAAAGCAUUGUGAAGGCUGGACUGGGGAAGACAGGCCCAGGCAGGAAGGGGCUGAGACAGUUGCUGGGUGAGAGAUGGUGAUGAGGGAUGAGGAUGACUAAGGGCGGUGACUGGGAGGAAUAAAGGAUGUCUCUGCUAGACAAGCAGACAUGGAGAAGAGCUUCCUGCCUCUCCAGAAGCUAUGGAUUCCUGUUUGCAAGGUGACCAAGCUGGCCAACCAGUGGGGGGAGAUCUUUAUGGAGAACAUUGAGGAGAAACCAUCGUAUGGAGAAGAGUGGAGAGAUGAAGAAACUGAGACUUGGAUCCCAACCAGCCUGGAUUUGAAUCCUCACCCCACCACUUGCCCAAGGUGUACAGCUAGGAAGUUUCACAGCCCCGCCCGAGAUGCUGUGGGCUGAGCGCCGGCCCGUGGCUGCCACUGUCGACGCCGUAUUUGGAAGAGUCCUGUCUAACAGGCCCCAGUAGUGGGCCUUCUGCCAUCCCCAGUCUGUAAUGGAAGCGAUGAGGAGACAGCAGGAGCCUCUGCAUGGGGCCCUGGGAGCUUCAGCGGCUCCCCCGGUGCGCCCGCCCUGCCCCCAUCGUCGUCUCCUCUCUGAUCUGCUGCCUUGGGCCUGAGGGGAAGGGUUCCGCGGGUGAGGGAGCCUGGGGCCUCCUCGGCAGGAAGCUUCUCUCAUUGCCAGCGUUCUGCAGAGGUCGGCCCCCCACCCCACCUUCCCCACUCUCUCCUGGUCUUUGUUUCCGUUUCAGGCUGGGGUGGGAAGAUAAGGAGAGCAACGGCGCCAUCUGCUGGGCAUCUUGGGCAAGCGCCCGCUGAGCGCAGGAGUAACCCUGGGGACAGAAUCCCAUUUCAUCUGGUGGAAGGAAGCUCUCAGUGCCAACAAGGGCUGCCUAUUAUCUGUACCCUCAGGUGACAAAGCAAUUGCAAAGAACUCAGCCUCUUCAUUCUGCUGGCCCCUUGGAAAUGCUGCUCCCUGAACUUUGUGAAAACGGCAAGAGCUCAGAGUGCUACGUCAUCCCCCCAGCUACCCCCCUCCUCCCCUCAUCUCAAAGCUCCUAUCUCUUCCUCCUCCUACCAAGUGAAACUAGUGUGGUUGGGAGACAGCUAUGAGCAGGCAUCCCCAUGUGCAUAGACCUGAAGUCAGUCAAGGCUAGAAAACAUGGUGGCAAGAUGGGAGAAUGGUCCUAGGUGGUGAAUCAGGGCCCAGGCACCACGGAUCCCUCUGCAGGUGUUAGAAUGAACUGAUCUGGCAUAAAAGAGGCACUGCUGGGGAAAAGUGAUUUAGGAAAAGAGAUUCAAGUCAAUCUUAAUUCCACCAGUCUGCCAUUCUAAUCAAUUUGGUAUAAUUUGACAAUCAUUUAUUAAUACAGGUCAAAUCCUGUGUGAGUUUGUGGAAGAAGGUGGGACACAAAUGAACAUUUAUGGGCAGUCCACUGUGUGCUGGGUACUGUGCUAGCUGCUGUGGCCACCAAGGAGACAUGGUCUCCCUCCUCUAGAAGCACCCUACAACCCCACCCUUACCUGCAUGCAGCCUUUUUGUUCUCUUCCCCCAUGAAACCUGCAACUGGUAAAUUAAGCCACACUGAGCUGUACUCAACCGAGCAGGUUUCAUAACUGUGCCUUCAAUUGUCUCUCACUAUCCAUUCUCUUCCUGGUUUUAGUAAUGAGCCCCACCCACUCCUCACCCCAGCCACCACUCCUAGAGUUCGGGCUAGACACAUGACUGCCCAGAGAUAUUUCCUAGCCUAUCCUGCAGCUGAGUAUAAGCCAUUUGACUGUGACCAAUGGGUCAUGAGUGGAAAUAUGUGGUAACUUGUGUGGCACACCAUCCUCUUCCUCUUCGCUCUUUUCCAUGGGCUAGGAUGCAGACUUGGGAGUGUACUGGUGAGCAGGCUUUGCUCAUAGGGAUGAGGGCUGGUAAAGCAACAAGAUGGAGGGAACCUCAGGUCUGUGGACCAUCUCCUGGAGCAGAACCACCCUGCCUACCUUCUCAAACCUUCUACCAGCCCAGAUUUUACAUGAGAGAGAAACUCAGUUCUUUAACAAAAAUGGGUUUUUGUUAAAGCAGUUUCAAAUCAAUAUCCUAACUACCUGCUAGUUAAAUCGGUAACUGUUAGCUGCUCACUACCAGAAGUUGAAUAAGCCAAAAGAAUGUCUGGAGUAGGAGCUUUAUCAGAGCUCCUGAAAUACUGAGGCUAGGGAUCCAGUAUGUAACAGAGCGCCCUCUUGAUGUCCCAAAGCAUCUCUCAAUUCCUUUAUCAUUAGACUCAGGGGGACAGCCUUGUAUUUUAGUGUGGCAUGUGUCUAAAGGCACAUGGCUAGUGCAACAUUGAUACCAGGUGCCAAGAAGGCUCCACUCUCAAUCUUCAGCCAACAGGUCUACUUCAUACUUCACUAUAAAUUCAUGAGCUGCAUUACCUAAGUAGUUUUCUGCACUUAGAGAUGAGGCAGGAAAGCCCAUCAGUCUUUCCCAAGAGCCCAGGGCUAAUAGAAGCUCGGCUUCUCAGAUUUACCUUUAAGAGCUCUUGACAUUUUCUCAGAUGAAGAAUGGUUCUCUCUCCUUAGGGGUUAGAGUCCUCUGGUGCUGACCAAGGAAUACCAUUAAAAAGUCUUUUUUUUUUCUUAAAGUAGUUGUAAAAAGGACAGAAAUGUGAGCACUAUAGAAAAGAAGGAAGUUGUACAAAAGUCAAAAGUCAAAUCAUGUAAGUAAGAAAAUGUUUAGGAAUUAUCAGUAUUUGGAAGUCAGUGGUUACAGGUUCAAAAUAGUUCAUGUAAAUGUUCAACCACUGGAAAACUUUAAAAAUGCCAGAGAG